AAUUAUAAACAUAAAACCUUGUUUGCACAGUGGUUAGCGGGUUUUAACCAUGAUAAAUCCACCCGGGUUUGAACCUCUUCCAGAGAUUUUUUGGUUGUUUUUAACUUUAAAACAUUAAUGAGGGGUAUAAUAGAUAUUACGUAAUCAUCUUCUUCCUUAUGUAUCUGCUGGAACCCUAACAUGGGGGCCGCCUCACUUUUUCUUUUUUCGUUUUUCAUUAUUUUCCUUCUUUUUCCUCUGUAUUUAUAGCCAAAAAUGAUAGAUUAAUCAGAAAACCUUCGAUUUUAAAGUUUAAAUGAACGAAAUCUUGAAUUUUUUAAGAUAGUCGAGUUUUUUCUCCGAUUAGCACCAAAUCGCGGCGGUUGGAGGCCGAGGAACGAUUUUCCGGCGAGUAAGCGGCCUUAGGCGCCGCGUUUUCGAACACGGGUAUGGAGUAUAUGUGUUGGCAAGAGGUAAAAGGAACCUAAAAUCUUAUCUAGUUCAAGUAUUCGAUAUUGACUUAGCAAUAAUGGCUGAUUGUGACUUUGUGAGUCACUCUCAUUUACUACCCAUAAAGAGCACAAUCAAUAACAAACAACAUUUAAAAGUUAGAGCUAUCUACUCUCCUUUAUUCCAGUAUAAUAAAUUCACAAAAUAGAUGAGAUUAAAUAUUUAUUGUAAGUCUAUAUUGAAUCUUAUACAUGAACAAUGUACAAGCAGAGGUUAUAUACAGACACUGAUACUAGGGUAUACCAUAGAAGUUAAUGACAAUAUAUUAUGUACAAUAAAUAAGAAUAUACGAAGAUCAAGCAUUGAUAGUGAUUGAUCUCUAAUACGUCCCCUCAAAAUGGAGGGGUUUGCACACUCCAAUCUUGCCAGCAAAUGAAAUGAAUGUUGGAUAUGGUAGGGGUUUGGUCAUAGCAUCUGCUAGCUGAUCCUCGGUUGAGACGUGUACCACUCGUAGUGUGCAUGACUUGACUUGGUUUCGAAUAAAAUUGUAGUCUAGCGCAACAUGCUUUAUUCUUGAAUGGAAGAUGGGAUUGACCCAUAAGUAGGUGGCUCCAUCAUAUGGCUGGUGGAAGGAGAGGCUUUCAAGGUCCGACAUAAUAUGGUGGGUUGUGCCCCUGUCCAUUAGCCAGUUGGUAGUAUUUUAGGAAGCAGUUACGGUGAGAUUAGCUCGAGGAUUUCAAGGCAUGAAUGGACUAACUUUCUGCUGACGAGGAGACUGAUAGCUUUUGAGUUGAGAGCAUUGCUUGGCACUGUUUCCUUGUGUGCCACAGAUCUGACAGCAUCCAAGUUGUUGCGCUGUUGUGCCAUAUUGGCUGUGACAAGAGUUGGUGAGACAAGAGCAUCCCUGAGGGAGAGGAGUUUGGCCUCGUGGUUUAGUAGGCGCUCAUGCAGCUCCGUGAUCAAUGGGGGAGCGUCCCUGCCUUCGAUCUGGUCUAUGACAUUUUUGUAAUCUUCUGGAAGUCCUUCGAGGAUGAGAUCGAUCUGGUCUUCGUGGUCAACUGCUUUCCCGAGAAUAGCUAGUCCAUCCAAACGAGUUGUGAUGCCUUGAAGGUUGAUGCAAGUGUGGUUCACACAUAAGAGGAGGUAGUGCAAUGCGAGACAUGAGGCUGGAGAGAUUGAGAGAUUACUCCUAGAAGUGCGCUAUAAAGGAGCUUGUCUUGAUGUUUCCACAAAGUGUAGGCCAGAUUUGUUGGAUGUGAUCAAGUCUUCAUCUUAUAUUAUUAGUUUAGAAGAUUCAUAUAUUAUAUAGUUAAGUAAUUAAUUUAUGUAUCGUAUCGUAUCACACACCGAACAGAUACAAAUAUAAUUGUUAACUGCAAAACAGUUACACAUGUGUAUGUACGUGUCUCUAUAUUGGGGUUGUCUUCAAGAGACAUGUCCCUUAGUUAGUUUCUCAUGUAAAACUAUAAAUACAUUCUAAAUAUCUAAUAAAGUAAUGUGGCUUUCGUUAUAUAAGAAUAAAGCAAUAUAUUGAGUGUCAAGGAAGAAACAGAGAACGAGAGAUAAAACAGAGUAAAAUCUAUGUUGUCUGAUGCUUAAGACCAACUGCAACGGUGAUUUUAGAUGAGUCCUUAUCGUUAAUCCUUAGCAUUAUUUCAAUAUAAUAUUAUUAUUUUGGCUUAAUUAGCUAAGGAUCAAUCCUUCAAGAGGGAUUGGAAAGAUUCAAUCCUUAACACACGUGUCUCUCUCUAUCUCUCCUCCCACGCUCUCUCUCGAUCUCUCCUUGCUCCAUCAUCUCCCACCAUGGCUCCUCUAUAAUCUUCCUCUUCAUCUCCCACCACGUCUCUUGCUUUACUGCUUUCUCCGUUCUUUCGGUAGGCGCAAGUGUUCAUCAUCCAUCCGCCCUCAAACACAGAAGAGACAAUCGUUUCGUUCGUCAUCUUUGAAGGUAUUUGCAGUACUUUCCGAUUAACGAUUAGCUUAAUAUUUGAUUAAUUAACCAUCUGAUCCGACUGUUGUUCGAAAACUCUGGAGUGUAGAUUCAUAAAGUAUCUAUCCGUACUCUAUCAAUUUGAUUGGCCCAUGGUUAUUCUCCAGAAAUUUGUAAUGGAAUCGGUAGAAAUUGAUUGUACUUGUCCUGGGUUUGUUAAUUGUAAAUCUCGGAACCUCUCUUUGUUUUCUGUUAAUUUUUGUUUUUUUUGUUUGUGUGUUUUCAAGAUUUAGGAAAUUUCCGGUUAGAUCUCCGGCUUAAUCUUGUACAGUUGGUAUUGGAUUUUGUUUAUAUUGCCUUGUUGUUUGAAAUUGAAACGCUCAAGUUUUUGUUUUGCUUAAUAUGAGAAUGUUUCCGCACUUUGUUUCUUCAUUUGGUAUUGACUGUCUGUUCUUGUGAUCUUGUUGUCUGUUCUGAUCUUGUAUGUUCUUGUGAUCUUGUUGUCUGUUCUGAUCAGGGACAAUGUCUUCUCAAACUGGAAAUUCACAGAGACCGUCUCUUUCCAUCAGGUGGGUUUCUCUACUUUCGAUUAGUUAUAGAUUGAUUAGAUUUUUGAAGCUCUUUGCUUCAAUCUAUAGAUGUCUGUGGUAAUGAUGGCUAAAGUCGAUAGCUUUAGUAGAUUUUUAUUGUGGAUAUGUGAAAAACAGAACUAGAGAAGACACAAAGUAAUAGACUUGUGUUGUUAGUAAUAAUGGAGUUUGGUUUUUGUGGGUGACGUUUUUAGGUGCCAAUCAACUAAUACCAAAGAGCCAAAGAGUAGUUGUAAUAUUCUGGACAAUGCGAGCAACCUUUUUACAAACAUGUUAAGCGGUGGAAGUUUCGGUUCAAUGGCCACUGCUGAAGGAGCUGUCUCUGAUUUGUUUGGGAAGCCUCUCUUCUUAUCCCUCUACGACUAGUUUAUGGAGGUAUAUGCUAUUAAGACUUACUCUGAUUUACAUCUUAAAGUUGAGAACUUUGUUGUUUUGAUUAUGUGAUGUUCUUGUUUUAAAGCAUGGAGGAGUUUACAAACUUGCGUUUGGUCCAAAGGUAUUUGUUGUCAUCUCUGAUCCUAUUGUUGCGGCAUGUCCUCAGAGAGAACGCGUUUUCCUAUGACAAGGUAAUGGAGUCAGUCAGUGUCUUUGUUUUGUUUUCUUUUGGUACCACCAUCAAGUAACUUUCCUUUGUGUUUUUCUUUAGGGAGUUCUUGCUGAGAUCUUAGAGCCCGUCAUGGGAAAAGGGUUGAUACCUGCUGACCUUGAUACCUGGAAGUUAAGAAGAAGAGGGGUAAGUAAAGCUGUUUUUGUUACUCUCUCUAUGUUUAUGGCCAUUAAUGAUGAUCUGUGUUGCAGCUAUAACUCCUGCGUUCCAUGCAUUGUAUUUGGAGGCCAUGGUCAAAGUAUUCAGCAACUGUUCUGAGAAAAUGAUACUGAAAUUGAAAUUGAAAAACUUAUAGUUUUUAAACUUAUACAUUUUUAAAUUUCUCUUUUCUGGUAUAUUUAUUUUUAAUCAUACAAUUAAUAAAAUUUCAAUUUCAAUUUAAAAAAAAAAUAUUUUUUUUAUUUUUAAGAACUCCUAAUUGGAGAUCACCAUUGGACACAUUAUUUUGACUAGAGUCCUUAACUAUUCAAACAAAAAAAAUUAAUAUAAUAAUAAUAAAGACUCCAAGAAGGAGUCCACCAUUGCAGAUGCUCUAAUAACUUUAGUGUUUCGCGUGUUCUCUAGUGUCUCUGUCAAUGUACAAGUUAUAUACAGAUAUACUUAUACUAGGGUACGAUAGAAGUUAAUGACAAUAUAUUAUAAACAAUAAAUGAGAAUAUACGAAGAUCAAUCAUUGAUAUUGACUGAUCUCUAAUAUUUAUUUGGCCAAAGUUCCUCUAGUAAGUAUUGUAGGUGUCAAAAGGAAGAAGAUCACACACUUCUCUUUAGACAAAACAUAAUUUGGUUUUCAAUUUUAUAAUGAAAAUGGGAGUCUGA
Long non-coding RNA from Brassica napus (rape), 4372 nucleotides. RefSeq lists it as uncharacterized. The record is from RefSeq and is a predicted model, not a curated record. Lineage: Eukaryota; Viridiplantae; Streptophyta; Magnoliopsida; Brassicales; Brassicaceae. The transcript has 3 exons.